RNAcentral lists this transfer RNA (72 nucleotides) under Deinococcus arcticus. Its description in RNAcentral is "Deinococcus sp. OD32 tRNA-Ala". It matches the Rfam family "tRNA". From Rfam's summary of the family: Transfer RNA (tRNA) molecules are approximately 80 nucleotides in length. Their secondary structure includes four short double-helical elements and three loops (D, anti-codon, and T loops). Lineage: Bacteria; Thermotogati; Deinococcota; Deinococci; Deinococcales; Deinococcaceae. The record is from RNAcentral.
UGUUCGGUAGCUCAGGGGAAGAGCACUCGCUUUGCAAGCGAGGGGUCGGCGGUUCGAGUCCGCUCUGAACGC